GAUGAACGCUAGCGGCAGGCCUAAUACAUGCAAGUCGAACGCUCAGUAGCAAUACUGGGAGUGGCGCACGGGUGCGUAACGCGUACACAAUCUACCUCUAAGCGGGGGACACCUCCUGGAAACGGGGAUUAAUACCGCAUAAUAUGCCGAGGUCGCAUGACUUGGUAUUAAAGCAGCAAUGCACUUAGAGAUGAGUGUGCGUCCCAUUAGGUAGUUGGUGAGGUAACGGCUCACCAAGCCUAUGAUGGGUAGCUGGUCUGAGAGGAUGGUCGGCCACACGGGCACUGAGACACGGGCCCGACUCCUACGGGAGGCAGCAGUAAGGAAUAUUGGUCGAAUGGUGGAAACAACUGAACCAGCCAUGCCGCGUGGAGGAAU
Molecule: ribosomal RNA, 378 nt
Filed under: uncultured bacterium
Lineage: Bacteria
Description: bacterial SSU rRNA
Rfam family: Bacterial small subunit ribosomal RNA
Source: RNAcentral